GACGAACGCUGGCGGCGUGCCUAAUACAUGCAAGUAGGACGCAGUUGCGAACGGGUGAGUAACGCGUAGGUAACUGACUAUUAGAGGGGGAUAACUAUUGGAAACGAUAGCUAAUACCGCAUACUAGUGGAUGGCCCUCGGUUGUAUUACGAAGUAGGUGGGGUAAUGGCCUACCUAGGCAACGAUACAUAGCGGACCUGGGAGGGGUAUCGGCCACACUGGGACUGAGACACGGCCCAGACUCCUACGGGAGGCAGCAGUAGGGAUUCUUCGGCAAUGGGGGGAACCCUGACCGAGCAACGCCGCGUGAGUGAAGAAGGUUUUCGGAUCGUAAAGCUCUGUUGUUAAGGAAGCGGUACUUAACCAGAAAGGGACGGCUAACUACGUGCCAGCAGCCGCGGUAAUAC
This 407-nucleotide ribosomal RNA is filed under the name uncultured bacterium. Its description in RNAcentral is "partial 16S ribosomal RNA". It matches the Rfam family "Bacterial small subunit ribosomal RNA", at positions 28 to 526 of the family's 1533-position model. The record is from RNAcentral.